Molecule: ribosomal RNA, 440 nt
Filed under: uncultured bacterium
Lineage: Bacteria
Description: partial 16S ribosomal RNA
Rfam family: Bacterial small subunit ribosomal RNA
Source: RNAcentral
CCUACGGGAGGCAGCAGUGGGGAAUAUUGCACAAUGGGGGAAACCCUGAUGCAGCGACGCCGCGUGAGUGAAGAAGUCCUUCGGUAUUUAAAGCUCUAUUAGUAGGGAAGAAAAUGACGGUACCUGAUUAAGAAGCCCCGGCUAACUACGUGCCAGCAGCCGCGGUACUACGUAGGGGGCGGGCGUUAUCCGGAUUUACUGGGUGUAAAGGGAGCGUAGACGGCAGCACAAGUCUGGAGUGAAAUGCCGGGGCUUAACCCCGGACCUGCAUUGGGAACUGUGCAGCUAGAGUGCAGGGGAGGUAGGCGGAAUUCGUAGUGUAGCGGUGAAAUGCGUAGAUAUUAGGAGGAACCCCAGUGGCGAAGGCAGCUUACUGGACUGGAACUGACGUUGAGGCUCGAAAGCGUGGGGAGCGAACAGGAUUAGAUACCCCUGUAGUC